Molecule: ribosomal RNA, 1449 nt
Filed under: Helicobacter pylori
Lineage: Bacteria; Pseudomonadati; Campylobacterota; Epsilonproteobacteria; Campylobacterales; Helicobacteraceae
Description: bacterial SSU rRNA
Rfam family: Bacterial small subunit ribosomal RNA
Source: RNAcentral
ACAUGCAAGUCGAACGAUGAAGCUUCUAGCUUGCUAGAAGUGGAUUAGUGGCGCACGGGUGAGUAACGCAUAGGUCAUGUGCCUCUUAGUUUGGGAUAGCCAUUGGAAACGAUGAUUAAUACCAGAUACUCCCUACGGGGGAAAGAUUUAUCGCUAAGAGAUCAGCCUAUGUCCUAUCAGCUUGUUGGUAAGGUAAUGGCUUACCAAGGCUAUGACGGGUAUCCGGCCUGAGAGGGUGAACGGACACACUGGAACUGAGACACGGUCCAGACUCCUACGGGAGGCAGCAGUAGGGAAUAUUGCUCAAUGGGGGAAACCCUGAAGCAGCAACGUCGCGUGGAGGAUGAAGGUUUUAGGAUUGUAAACUCCUUUUGUUAGAGAAGAUAAUGACGGUAUCUAACGAAUAAGCACCGGCUAACUCCGUGCCAGCAGCCGCGGUAAUACGGAGGGUGCAAGCGUUACUCGGAAUCACUGGGCGUAAAGAGCGCGUAGGCGGGAUAGUCAGUCAGGUGUGAAAUCCUAUGGCUUAACCAUAGAACUGCAUUUGAAACUACUAUUCUAGAGUGUGGGAGAGGUAGGUGGAAUUCUUGGUGUAGGGGUAAAAUCCGUAGAGAUCAAGAGGAAUACUCAUUGCGAAGGCGACCUGCUGGAACAUUACUGACGCUGAUUGCGCGAAAGCGUGGGGAGCAAACAGGAUUAGAUACCCUGGUAGUCCACGCCCUAAACGAUGGAUGCUAGUUGUUGGAGGGCUUAGUCUCUCCAGUAAUGCAGCUAACGCAUUAAGCAUCCCGCCUGGGGAGUACGGUCGCAAGAUUAAAACUCAAAGGAAUAGACGGGGACCCGCACAAGCGGUGGAGCAUGUGGUUUAAUUCGAAGAUACACGAAGAACCUUACCUAGGCUUGACAUUGAGAGAAUCCGCUAGAAAUAGUGGAGUGUCUAGCUUGCUAGACCUUGAAAACAGGUGCUGCACGGCUGUCGUCAGCUCGUGUCGUGAGAUGUUGGGUUAAGUCCCGCAACGAGCGCAACCCCCUUUCUUAGUUGCUAACAGGUUAUGCUGAGAACUCUAAGGAUACUGCCUCCGUAAGGAGGAGGAAGGUGGGGACGACGUCAAGUCAUCAUGGCCCUUACGCCUAGGGCUACACACGUGCUACAAUGGGGUGCACAAAGAGAAGCAAUACUGCGAAGUGGAGCCAAUCUUCAAAACACCUCUCAGUUCGGAUUGUAGGCUGCAACUCGCCUGCAUGAAGCUGGAAUCGCUAGUAAUCGCAAAUCAGCCAUGUUGCGGUGAAUACGUUCCCGGGUCUUGUACUCACCGCCCGUCACACCAUGGGAGUUGUGUUUGCCUUAAGUCAGGAUGCUAAAUUGGCUACUGCCCACGGCACACACAGCGACUGGGGUGAAGUCGUAACAAGGUAACCGUAGGUGAACCUGCGGUUGGAUCACCUCCU